UAGGGAAUAUUGCGCAAUGGACGAAAGUCUGACGCAGCGAUGCCGCGUGAGUGACGACGCCUUUCGGGGUGUAAAGCUCUGUCAAGAGGGAAGAUUAUGACGGUACCUCUAAAGGAAGCAACGGCUAAUUACGUGCCAGCAGCCGCGGUAAUACGUAAGUUGCAAGCGUUAUCCGGAUUUAUUGGGCAUAAAGAGUGCGUAGGCGGCAUUUUAAGUCAGAUGUAAAAUCCCACAGCUCAACUGUGGACUGCAUUUGAAACUGGAAUGCUCGAGACUAGGAGAGGAAAGCGGAACUCACAGUGUAGCGGUGAAAUGCGUAGAUAUUGUGGGGAACACCAGUGGCGAAGGCGGCUUUCUGGACUAGUUCUGACGCUGAGGCACGAAAGCAUGGGGAGCGAACGGG
This 403-nucleotide ribosomal RNA is filed under the name uncultured bacterium. RNAcentral describes it as "bacterial SSU rRNA". It matches the Rfam family "Bacterial small subunit ribosomal RNA", at positions 355 to 776 of the family's 1533-position model. The record is from RNAcentral.